UAUCAGGGUAAGCCGUAACGCUGGCUUUUUUGCUCCGUAGUGGGGGACGGGUGAGUAAUGUCUGGGAAACUGCCUGAUGGAGGGGGAUAACUACUGGAAACGGUAGCUAAUACCGCAUAACGUCGCAGGACCAAAGAGGGGGACCUUCGGGCCUCUUGCCAUCGGAUGUGCCCAGAUGGGAUUAGCUAGUAGGUGGGGUAACGGCUCACCUAGGCGACGAUCCCUAGCUGGUCUGAGAGGAUGACCAGCCACACUGGAACUGAGACACGGUCCAGACUCCUACGGGAGGCAGCAGUGGGGAAUAUUGCACAAUGGGCGCAAGCCUGAUGCAGCCAUGCCGCGUGUAUGAAGAAGGCCUUCGGGUUGUAAAGUACUUUCAGCGGGGAGGAAGGGAGUAAAGUUAAUACCUUUGCUCAUUGACGUUACCCGCAGAAGAAGCACCGGCUAACUCCGUGCCAGCAGCCGCGGUAAUACGGAGGGUGCAAGCGUUAAUCGGAAUUACUGGGCGUAAAGCGCACGCAGGCGGUUUGUUAAGUCAGAUGUGAAAUCCCCGGGCUCAACCUGGGAACUGCAUCUGAUACUGGCAAGCUUG
RNAcentral lists this ribosomal RNA (592 nucleotides) under Escherichia coli. Its description in RNAcentral is "bacterial SSU rRNA". It matches the Rfam family "Bacterial small subunit ribosomal RNA", at positions 59 to 644 of the family's 1533-position model. Lineage: Bacteria; Pseudomonadati; Pseudomonadota; Gammaproteobacteria; Enterobacterales; Enterobacteriaceae. The record is from RNAcentral.